Thalassophryne amazonica is the source of this 136-nucleotide long non-coding RNA. RefSeq lists it as uncharacterized. The transcript is spliced from 2 exons. Lineage: Eukaryota; Metazoa; Chordata; Actinopteri; Batrachoidiformes; Batrachoididae. The record is from RefSeq and is a predicted model, not a curated record.
CAAAUGAUAGUAAAAUAGUAUUUCCAAUAAAAGAAGUUAUGGACCAAAUACACAGGUUUUCACUCAAAAUUUCACAAUAUAUGGCCCCAUUCAUUCUUUCCUUGACACAGAUCACUUGGGGACACCAAGUGAAUGA